GGGGGCGAUUCGGAUUCGACGCCGGUAUCAACACCUGGGGUGCAUGUCGAGAGGGUAGUGACUCUCGUAAAUCAAUCGCUGCAACUUUACAGUUGCCAACGACGAUAGAUACGCUCUAGCAGCUUAAUAUAGCCGCUAGCGAUUGCCUCAGGGAUGCCUGUAAACCAGUGUUUUGCAAUCGUCAUAUAGAACAGGAUCGCGCGAAGGCCGUCUGGGGCAAUAGCGUUAAAAUUUUUCCAGACUCGCCCUACUCGCCCUGCCCGUCGGGUAGACGUGGGCUAACUCAAUAGACGACGCUAAGCAUGUAGAGCAGCAGGCCGCGAACUGACGGACGGGGGUUCAAGUCCCCCCGCCUCCACCA
RNAcentral lists this transfer-messenger RNA (361 nucleotides) under Gammaproteobacteria bacterium. It matches the Rfam family "transfer-messenger RNA". Rfam says of the family: Bacterial tmRNA, also known as 10Sa RNA or SsrA, is named for its dual tRNA and mRNA-like properties. The record is from RNAcentral. RNAcentral also lists the same sequence under 2 other names. Lineage: Bacteria; Pseudomonadati; Pseudomonadota; Gammaproteobacteria.